CAGAUAUUAGUUUUAUUUAAAAUUUUAAUUUUGGAGAUUAAAGAUAGAAGUUUUCUAUAUCUGA
This 64-nucleotide transfer RNA is filed under the name Psylliodes heydeni. RNAcentral's name for it is "tRNA-Pro". Lineage: Eukaryota; Metazoa; Arthropoda; Insecta; Coleoptera; Chrysomelidae. The record is from RNAcentral.